AAUGAACGUUGGCGGCGUGGAUUAGGCAUGCAAGUCGUGCGAUAACCGUAGCAAUACGGCGAAAGCGGCGAAAGGGAGAGUAAUGCGUGGAUACCUACCCCCAGGUCCAGGAUAGCCGCGGGCAACUGCGGGUAAUACUGGAUGACGUCCCCGGACCAAAGGUGUGAUUCCGCCCGGGGAUGGGUGCGCGUCCUAUUAGCUUGUUGGCAGGGUAAUGGCCUACCAAGGCAAAGAUGGGUACGGGGUGUGAGAGCAUGCCCCCGCUCACUGGGACUGAGACACUGCCCAGACACCUACGGGUGGCUGCAGUCGAGGAGCUUCGGCAAUGGGCGCAAGCCUGACCGAGCGACGCCGCGUGCGGGAUGAAGGCCUUCGGGUUGUAAACCGCUGUCAGAGGGGAGGAAAUGCCGGUGGGUUCUCCCAUCGGUUUGACCUAUCCUCAGAGGAAGGACGGGCUAAGUUCGUGCCAGCAGCCGCCGUAA
Molecule: ribosomal RNA, 482 nt
Filed under: uncultured bacterium
Lineage: Bacteria
Description: partial 16S ribosomal RNA
Rfam family: Bacterial small subunit ribosomal RNA
Source: RNAcentral